GGCUGUAGCUCAGUGGUAGAGCGCCUGCCUCACGCAUGUGAGGCGCUGGGUUCGAUCCUCAGCACCA
This 67-nucleotide transfer RNA is filed under the name Marmota monax (woodchuck). RNAcentral describes it as "tRNA.Val". The record is from RNAcentral. Lineage: Eukaryota; Metazoa; Chordata; Mammalia; Rodentia; Sciuridae.